RNAcentral lists this long non-coding RNA (462 nucleotides) under Bemisia tabaci. RNAcentral describes it as "lncRNA ENSSWEETPG009529". The record is from RNAcentral. Lineage: Eukaryota; Metazoa; Arthropoda; Insecta; Hemiptera; Aleyrodidae.
AUGGUCCAUUCUUUUGUGAUUUCAAUCGUUGAGGUUACUUUAGGGCUUUCCUUGCUGCUUCCUUCUCUGAAUAAAAGUAUGGUAACUAUGGUUACCGCUUUGAGUAUGGUUGAAGAAAGAGUAACAAGACCAAGAAACAGAGAUGGAGACGAGAGUCAUCAAAUUCAAUUACUUCCUACUGACUCUGUGUUAUAUGUUUGGAUUUUACUAUAUGAUCCAAGGUCUUUUGUUCUACAGUGGAAAAUUCACUUUGCUGAAAGUGCCGAUAAUCAUUCAAGGUAUCCUGGCCAAAGCGUUCAUCAUCAUAGGCGGAAAUUGUAUUCUAAUAAUAUCUGUUGGCUGCCAUGCAAUGCGAGGACAUUUGUUAUUCUUGGCCUUGCAUGCAAUCAGUUCAGUCAUCAUACUAACAGGUCUAGUGGCAAUCAGUGUAUACUUAAUAACACAACUUCUGUCGCUGAGUGA